RNAcentral lists this ribosomal RNA (322 nucleotides) under uncultured eukaryote. RNAcentral describes it as "partial 18S ribosomal RNA". It matches the Rfam family "Eukaryotic small subunit ribosomal RNA", at positions 1470 to 1796 of the family's 1831-position model. The record is from RNAcentral.
CCCUUAGAUGUUCUGGGCCGCACGCGUGCUACACUGAGUGGAUCAGCGGGUCAGGUUGCGCGAAAGUGUUUCCUAAUCUUGAAAUCCGCUCGUGAUGGGGAUUGACGGUUGCAAUUUUCCGUCAUGAACGAGGAAUACCUUGUAAGCGCGGGUCAUCAUCCCGCGCUGAAUACGUCCCUGCCCUUUGUACACACCGCCCGUCGCUCCUACCGAUUGAGUGGUCCGGUGAGGCUUUGGGAUCUGAGCGGAAAGAGCGUUUCGCUGUUUCUGCUCGGAAAACUCAGUCGAACCUUAUCAUUUAGAGGAAGGAGAAGACGUAACA